UCCUGGCACGGAGGUGGCCCUCGCCGACUGUAGCAGAGACCGCGUGCAUGGGCCGUGUGUGUGCAGCUCUGGUGGCCACCCUCCCGUCCCCUGGUUGGCUGGGUCCACUGGCCCCAGGCAGGCGCCAUCUGCGCGGUGUGGCCUGGAACGGGAAGGAACCUGCGAGGUUUGUGCUAAUGGGCCGGAGGUCCACGUUUAGGGCAGCAUCUCAGAAUCCUAGGGCUGGUCCUUCACUGCAGCUAGAACCUCAUCCAGUGUCCUCCUCCAGCUCCAGCGGACCGUCCCUCGGGGGGGGGGUGCAGCCCUUCUCGACCCCGGGGUCCAGACGAGGACCGGGGCAGAGACAUGACGAGUCCAAAGGGUCUCCUUCGCGCGAGACUGAUGUCGGCUGUCUGGACCUCCAAGGACUGGCCUGAGAAGCGUGUGGGAUCCUCUUCCCUGAGGGCGAGAGGACGGGCGCUGUUGGGAUGCAGGGAGAGGCCUCACACGCGUGCACAUACGUGUAUGGGUUUGUGUGCGUGCGUGCACACGAGUAUAUGCAGGUGCCUGUGUGGGCACGUGUGUGCCCAGACGUGUGCUCACAGGUGUCCCGGGGAGAGAGGAGACCGGGCAGGGCUCCACUCCAGCCCCGAAACUUUGCUUCCUUGUAGCACUGCCAGUGAGGGCUUGGCUCUGGCGCUGGGCUCAGCGUGAGACCCUCUGGUCCUUCUCACCCCAUCCUUUCCCGUGGCCAGUGGGACAGACUCCCCGGGGAUGCGUAAUGCACAGGAUGGCUGCACCAAGCUCUUAGCCACCGAGGCUCCCUGCCACCGUCCCUCCCCCAGAGGCCCCCCGGUGAGUCCCUGGCCAGCCAAGAAUCCUGCCAUGACUAUUUAGGCCAAGACCUGUGUUGCCCAAGGUGUGUGCCCUGAAUACUCAUUCCUGGGGGAGACUCCCCAGACACAGCUUUGGGACAGGUGGGACAGGUUAACAUCCCGCCAUCCCCCAGCAGCAUUACUCUCCACUCUGACCCCAGCCGUGAGCGGGCUGGGCUCUAGCAAAGAAGAUGAAUUCCAGACACUGCCGUGCAGCCCGGGAAGAAGGUCUGCUGGGGUCUCUGGGGACAAGUGAGUUCCACUCUGCCCCUCGCUCACCUGGGACUCGCUCCCCUGGCCUCGGCCGGAGCUCCUCGCCGGCCUUGCUCUGGCCUGGCUCUGACUGCCCGAAGCCCAGACGUGAGUUCUCUCCCCUCCUCUGCACUGCACGCCUGCCUCCCGGGGCUCCACACCGGACCCCAGCCACCAGCUGUCCCAUGUCAUCAGCCUGGGCCUCACCUGGGCAGAGUCAUAGACCACUCUCAGUGGCGGUCACCGGCUGGUCCCCCACACACAGUGGUGCUCGGUCCUUCCCGAUUCCUUCAUUUAUUCACAGUUGUGCUCAUCGGACAAGGUAAGAUUGAAGGUGUUCUUGGUGAGAGAGGAAGGGUCCUCACUGGCCCGGAGGCUGGGGCCCGGCUUGGGGCAUGUCAGGCGCUCACUGGCCACGUGACAUGCGACACUUCUAGCCCCCUCUGACCCAAGCGUCCCCUCCCUCAAAUGGGAUAAUUGUAAAAUAUCUGGGGGAAGAAAGAGUCCUCGAGAAUGCGUUGAAGGCCAGAGCAGGCAUGAGGACAGCGAUUAGCAAAACCGAAAAGCAUGCAGCGAGUAGCAGACGCUCUGUGACGCGGCCUCCGCGGACGAGAGCACGCGCCUCCCUCGGUGCAUCAGAACGGAAGCCAUUGCGCGGGCCCGCCAUCCCAUGUCCGUCCCCAAGAGAAUCAUAGCAGCACCUCGCACAGAUCUUGGUGCCCCCGCAUUCACGGCAGUGGAAAGGUGGACACGCCCCGGGGUCCAGGGAUGGGUGAUGGACCGAUGACACAUUCACCUGCCGUGUGUGAAGUUCGUGAGUCCGCCCACGGAAGGACCCGAACCCCCCCGCUCAGGGUCAUUCCUGAAGCGGCUUCACGGAGGCUGCCGGCGAAUCCGGAUGCGCGUGCGGGACGGGGUGGGCGCUGGGGAAGGCACCCGGGAGAAAUCAAGUCCUGUGCAAAGUGAUUCCUCUCACACACUUUGAGCAGGCCCAGGAGACAGGCUGACACGUGAACAGCUCGGUUCCCAGGAGGCCUGUCCUCUUUUACAAGGACCUUUUCCCCCUGAAGCGUGGACGUCACCCCAAAAAGUGAUAUGAGCAGCCAUCAUCUUCCUCGUCCACGGGCUCAGCAAACACUAGGCUGUGUGCUGCCUGACUCUGCACCCAGCACCCACCACGGGCCUCCCUAUCCCGGGUCACAAGGCGCAGAACAGAAGUCAUUGGAGGACAGGAUCCUCUGGGCACCACUGAGCCUGUGCAUGGGGCCGGUCCGCUCAGGGCACCUGGCAUCACCAUCACUCACUCUCGGGGUCCCCUAGUCCCCGGAUGCCUCUUCGUUCUGGUGAGUGGUUUGUUUCGUGGCCGCCGUGGGUCCCUGCCCAGCCUGCUGCGGGAGCGCUUCACGCCCACGAUUCCGGAGUGCUGUGAUGUGCAGGACGGGAGCCCAGCACCCCGAUCUGUAAGAGCCCGUGAGGGGACAGUAUGGGCUCGGCGCAGCAAACUCCUCAGGCUGUCGGGGGCGAGGCAAGGAGACAAAGGGUCUCGCCCACCAGAAGCAGACACCCCCUUGAGCAGCACCAGCACUGGCUGGCUGUCCCUACGAGGGUGGCCAAGAUGCGGGGUGACGUGGGAGCCUGGUCAGGGCGUGACCCCCAUCUGGCAGUGGGGGGGACUGCUCCCACUGUGCCAGGAAGUGUCCCUUUAGCCGGGGGAGGGGGAGAGGGAGAACCUCAAGCAGGGCACAGCCCCCACCCAGGAGAGAUGGCAGAGGUGGGCUGGACCAGGCCUGCACACAGACAGGACAUCCCACGUAUCCUGUGCGCCCCCCACACUUACCACCCGAUGUACCCACUAAUUCCCCAGACAUAGAAUUCGAUUGGUCCCCCACUGACUGAUGAAUCAUCUGCCUCCGAGUGGGUGUCCAUUCCCAGCCCAUUUGGCUUUUGCAGGACAGUGUUGGAGAAGAGAGUCAGGAACCUAGCACUGUGUCUUCUAGAAGCUUCUGGCAGAACAGUGGAAGUUCUUUGAGUUGGGCCGGGCUGUCUGCACCAGGAGAAAGAUUGGCUCCAGUGGCUGGAAUAAGAGUGUGAGGCACAGGUCCUUGGAGCAAAAACUCCCCAAGUCGGGGAGGCACAGGGGGGCAAGGGGCCCAGGGCGCCCCAGAGAGGGUGUGCCUGCAUCCUGGGACUCUGCGCUGUGGGCAGAGGUCAAGGUGCUCACCUAGAGAGGGUUGGACUUGGCAGAGGCAGCAUCCCUGCGUGUGCGAGUCCCCGGUGAGGGCGAGGGCACGAGUUUGCUGGUCUCAGGGCAGAGCGGCAAAGCUGAGCCUGGGGACCCAGCAGCCUCGUGGUUCAGGCCCUGACACCUCCAUGCUUCCCCCCAGGGCCAGGCUGCACAGCGAGAGCUCUGGCUGGGGUGAAGAGCAGGAGAAGGGCUUCCAGGACAUACCCCCCUCGGCCCAGACCCUGACCUGUAGCUCUCUGGAAACUCUGAGGCCCACAGCCCCUUGUCACUGGGGACUUGGGCCGCUUGCACUGCAGGGUGGAUGCUGCCAGCUUCUCGCCUGGACGUGUGAGCAUGUCCACUGGAGUUGCUAAGGCCAGCCUGGGAGCGGGAUUUCUGGACUGCCCCUUGCAGAUCUUUGCUACUACACACAGUCUCCUGCACCUCCUCCCCAGUGUGGGGGAGCCCCGGUUCCAGCCAUGCUCUUCUCUUAACCUUUGUCCAACUCACCCAACAUCCCUGUCUCCCUGCAGGCACUAAGCGGCUGUCACACGGGGGGCAGGGUGUGUCGCUUGUCCCAUAUCCGUCCCGGCUCACUCAAGAAAGGAGGUGACCAGCUCCUGGGAGAGGGGGAGGGAUCGGGGCAGGCACACGUGUCACAGCCCACGGGGAAGCCAGUGAGGCUCCAUAGGGAGGGAAAGCAGGGUGGCCAAGGGCUUCUCGAAGGGAGAGGCCUCGUGGAGAAGCCCAGCAGAGAGGAUCGUGUCUGUCAGGGCAGCAGUGGGGGAUUGCAGAGUGUGUUAGCUCCUGUGCUGACACCGGGGACUUUCCCUCGGAACCUUAUGGAGGCAGUAUCCGUGCCCAGCUAGAUUUCAAGCAGGCAUGCUGUGGGGGUGGAGCGCAGAAUUUUUACUUGGAAAAGAUCUCGUGGUACCUUUCCAAGCCCAGCCAGUUGCAUCCUGGAACCCAUUUGCCACGGGCAAAGCCGCUCCAGCCGACCUUGUCCCCAGAGGCGGUGCGGACGGGCAGCAGCUCAUUUUGGCGGCCGUUGGUCAAGUGGGUCAGACACAGGACGAGGCCGCUCCAGCCCACAGUCAUGUUCAAAUGCAGCACGCUCAGAUCCAGCCACGGUGAGCGCCAGGGCUGACAGAUUCCCACCGCCACUCCCUCCGUAUCACAGGGGACGCGGCAAGUGUGCGCAGGCCACGUGGAACCGGAUGGCUGGGACGUGCGUGGCAGGAGCCUUUCCUGGACGAGGCUGCUCAUGGCAGAGGAUUGGCCAAAGCCCAUCCCUGUGUGUCUCCAGCGGCCGAGAGAAGCUCGGGAGGAAGGCACCCUGGGCGCCACGCUCUGGGAUUUCCGGGCCGGGGAGUAGCAGCAGCAUCGCGUGUCCCGAGCCUGUCCGUCCUGGGCAGGGACAGGUCAUUCUCCCUGGAAGGAAGUCGCCACGUGCCGCCCGCACUUGCAGGGGUGCAGGUGCUCUCGGUGAGUCCGUGAUGUGGUGGAGAGAUGAGGCCGGCCUGUUCCAGGGACCCCCCCAGACCUCGUGCACCAGGAAGCAAACAGGGAAAUGCUUCGGGAAGGGGCGCACGGCUUCCGCCUCCGAGCCCCGCUUCCCGGAGUGUCGGUGCACCUGCCGUUGGCCCUGAGGCAGCAGCGCUGGACCUGGGACCCGCGGGCACUGUGAGAGCAGGUGAGGCUGCAGGGAGGGCCCCUGGGCGGAGAGAAGCACUCUCUUCUCAGCGUGCAGACAGGGGCUUCUUUGAGGGUCUCCAGAAAGGACACGCAACCACCGUCAGAUCAGGCAGGGCUGCAGCAUGACGUCUAACCGCCUCCAAGACUAGGAAGACGUCGCUGCCCACCAGCCCUGGUUCCCCAGGCAGAGGGGUCCCCACGCGGCGCCCAGGGGAGGGCUGGCUCUGUCCCGGGAGCGGGGGUGGCAGGGAGGAACAGGAGGCCCUCGCCAGCCCUCCCUCCUGGCCUCAGGGAGCCCCCCGCCCAGGGACGAAGGGGCCACCAGACUGCAGCGUCCUGGGGGCAGGGCUUCACGGAGCAGGUGAGCUCUCCCCGGGUGAGGACGGAGGGUCUGCGGUUCUGACUCCCCUGCCCAUCGGUGUCCUGACGUCCACAACAGGCAAGGUGGUUUCCGAGAUGCUCCUGGCUCUGACCAGGAGGCCAGGGCCACUGCCGCCCCUGACUUCACCCCCCCUUGCCAGGCCACGUUGGGGUGUGGCGGGAAGUGGGUGGAGGGCUCCCAGCUGAGCCUGAGUCAGAGACGAGGGCAGAGGACUGGGAAGACCAAGAAAGGCUGGUGUUGGGGUCCCGGGAGGGGUGGAGGGCCGAGGGGGUGGGCAGGGAGCGGGCCUGGGUCCCCCGUGCCAGGGCCCCAGCCUGGGCACGUGUAAGGCCUUCUCUCUGCCCCUGGGGUCUCCUGCCUCUUCUUCACGGUGGAAGCCGUCAUGCCUCCCCCACGCGUCUCCAGGGCCUUCUGCGAGAACGAGACGAGAUGAUGGAUGUGUAAGUGCUUUUGUGAGCCGUCAAGCACCACACCAACGUGAGCUAAUAUUACUAUUAUUGCUGUAAUUAUUGUUAUUCCAAGUGCGCAAAGAUGACGGAUGGCCUGCCGGGAGAGUCCAAUCCGCCACCAAGAAAUCCUCAUACUUCAGCACCAAAAUGCUUUGAAAUCCACGGAGGAAAGAGGCUUAUAACCAAAGGCAUUUGAUUAUCGUUGUAUUUGAGUGAACGUGCAUAAGACCUAACUUCAUAUGGGAGAAAGUCAUCCACAAAAAUUAAGUCAGGAUUUCCCCCGUCCCUGCCGUAUUCAGACUCGGGGCUCAAGAGAUAGAAGUGUGGAAUGCAACCAGAAAGAGGCUUUCUGCAGCCAGCAAACCACCUUUCCCCCCUAAUAGGAUCGAGCUUAGGAGAAGGGAACUGUGAAUUAUCACUAAUGCCCUUCCAAGCCCAGCUCCCAGGGGCUGCUCAUGGCCCGGGGACCGCGGGGACCUGCAGCCACACUUGGCCGGGUCUGAGCUAAGGGCCAGGCUGUGGGUUGGGCCCCGGGACGCCCACCACCCAUCUCAGAGCCCGAGCUGAAUGCUCUCUCCCUGCCGUGCCUCCAGCCCAGCCACGCAGUGAAGCCUCAGAUGGGAAUCUGGGGCCACAAGACCCCUCUCUGGCCUGGGACAGGUGCUCACGAACAUCGCACACCUCUGGACAGUUGAACCGAACCGGUUCUGGGGAUCAGGCAGCUACCGUGGAGACAGUGCCACCCUACAUUCCAACAGCACUCUCGCCAUCCCCCAUGACCCCAAAGCCCCAGCCCCAAAGGCCCCAGAGCAGGGCUCUGUCCUUCCCCGGUACCCAACCACAUGCCCAAACAUCCGGGUCCCUGAUGCCUCGGGGAAGCUCCAUGCGGACAGGUCACUGCAGGGUUAGACGAGCAGAGGCACGGUGACCGGCCAGUGCAGGGCACAGGGGCUGAGGGCCAUUCCUGGUCCGCCCCCCAGAUGUCCACUGGGAAGGCCAGCCCACCCCUCAGUCCCCACUGCAGCUGUCCCCCUCGGGUCUGCUGGCGCCGUGGGGCUCCUGGAUCGCAGGAAGGCGAGCAGCCAUGCAGAGCUCUACCCAACCACACCUGAACCGCAGCCCCAGCCCUGGACUCGGGGUGAGCAGACUGGCUUCUGAGCUCCCACUGCUGCCCAGACUUCUCUGGGCCUUAUUGGAGGGGCCAGCCUCCUGACUCGUCAGCUGUACGAGCCUGCACGUGGAAAGCCCCUAAGCUGUCGGGACAAGACAGACGUCCACUCGGCCCCCAAGAGGCUCACCCCAGAGCAGUGUUGGCAACAGAUCCCCCAAGCUGGGGGCUUGAAACAACGGGAAUUUAUUAUCUCCUAAUUGUGGAAGACACAAGCCUGAAAUCACGGUGUCGCAGGGCCAAGCUCCCUCUAGAGCUCUAGGGGAGGGUCCUUCCUGCCUCUCCCAGCUCCUGGUGGCCCCGGUGUCCCUGGGCUGUAGCCGUACCUUCCAGCCUCUGCUCCCUCUGCCCAUGGCUUCUAUCCUGGGCCAAAUGUCCCUCUGUCUCUCUCUUAUAAGGGCCCUUGUGCUAACACCGAGGCCUCCUGGAUAAUCCAGGAUACCCUCCCCAUCUCCACAGCCUCAGUCACACCUCAAAGGGCCCGUUUCCACUCGCGUGGCAAUUACAGGCUCCGGGGAUUGGGACCCACUAUGGGCGGGCGUCGCGGGCAGGCUGGGCUGACCCCACCAGUGUUGAGUCCUAAAGCGGAAACGCAAGCCCCUGACAGAGCCCCAGUGCAUAUUUCUCUGCAACCAUUUUUCAAUUUAAUUGGUUUGAAAUGGAUUUGGCUGGAAGGGACGUCCCAGGUAAUAAAUUGAUUUAAUAACCCCUCACCAUGAGAGUAUCACACACUGGCUUCUGGGCCGACACACAUCUGUUACUCGGCAGCUCCCCGCGAGCCUGUGCAGGGGGCAGGGGGCAGUGCGUCCCACCUGAUGGACGAGCCCCCUGAGCAGCGG
Molecule: long non-coding RNA, 7863 nt
Organism: Ailuropoda melanoleuca (giant panda)
Lineage: Eukaryota; Metazoa; Chordata; Mammalia; Carnivora; Ursidae
Exons: 3
Source: RefSeq, a predicted model, not a curated record